Octopus sinensis (East Asian common octopus) is the source of this 175-nucleotide long non-coding RNA. RefSeq lists it as uncharacterized. Lineage: Eukaryota; Metazoa; Mollusca; Cephalopoda; Octopoda; Octopodidae. The transcript is spliced from 4 exons. The record is from RefSeq and is a predicted model, not a curated record.
UUUUGGCUAAGAUCAAAGUGUAGUAUCUGUUCUUAUCAGCUUAAUAUCUGAUACGGUCCCUAUUUGGGACCAUCGAUAUUAAACUGAUUUUUGGAACGAGGCGAAGAGUUAGGGGCUUGCUCCGCCUUUGCCAUGGAGAUCGGAAGAGAGUGUGUGAGAGAGAGAGUGUGAGAGA